AAGGAAGGGGAUGACUAGUGACAGAGUGAGAGAGGGGGUGACUAGUGACAGAGUGAGGGAGGGGGUGACUGUCAUUAGUCACUAGUCACCACCUCCCUUAUCUGUCCCUAGUCACUCCUCCCUCUGUCCCUAGUCACCCCCUCCCUCUCUGUGUCACUAGUCACCCCUUCCCUCCCUAACUCUGUCACUAGUCACUACUUCCCUCCCUCACUCUGUCACUAGUCACCCCCUCCCU
Pelobates cultripes (western spadefoot toad) is the source of this 235-nucleotide non-coding RNA. The record is from the annotation of a GenBank genome assembly. NCBI's taxonomy places the organism in Eukaryota, Metazoa, Chordata, Amphibia, Anura, Pelobatidae.